RNAcentral lists this transfer-messenger RNA (364 nucleotides) under Gammaproteobacteria (g-proteobacteria). RNAcentral describes it as "JADFYS01 sp015231435 Standard tmRNA". It matches the Rfam family "transfer-messenger RNA". From Rfam's summary of the family: Bacterial tmRNA, also known as 10Sa RNA or SsrA, is named for its dual tRNA and mRNA-like properties. Its role is to liberate the mRNA from a stalled ribosome. To accomplish this part of the tmRNA is used as a reading frame that ends in a translation stop signal. Lineage: Bacteria; Pseudomonadati; Pseudomonadota. RNAcentral also lists the same sequence under 1 other name. The record is from RNAcentral.
GGGGGCGACCUGGUUUCGACGUGGGUUGCGAAACCCAAGGUGCAUGCCGAGGAGCAGGGUACCUCGUAAAUCCAUCUGCAAAACUAUUAGUUGCCAACGACGACAACUACGCACUCGCUGCUUAAACCCCAGUAGGGUGCCCUUCGGACUGGAGCCGUGCCUGUGCGUUCAGGUUUCCGGGGGUCAUUUCUCAUAGGAUCGCGACAAUGCUUGCUUGGGGCAGCGUCGUUAAAACAUACCAAGAUCGCCUUUAGUAGACCCUGCCCGUCGGGUUGCUACUGGUUAAAACAAUAGACAGGAUAAGCAUGUAGAGCCAAAGGCAGAGAGCUUACGGACGCGGGUUCGAUUCCCGCCGCCUCCACCA